GACGAACGCUGGCGGCGUGCCUAAUACAUGCAAGUUGAGCGCUGAAGGUUGGUACUUGUACCAACUGGAUGAGCAGCGAACGGGUGAGUAACGCGUGGGGAAUCUGCCUUUGAGCGGGGGACAACAUUUGGAAACGAAUGCUAAUACCGCAUAAAAACUUUAAACACAAGUUUUAAGUUUGAAAGAUGCAAUUGCAUCACCCAAAGAUGAUCCCGCGUUGUAUUAGCUAGUUGGUGAGGUAAAGGCUCACCAAGGCGAUGAUACGUAGCCGACCUGAGAGGGUGAUCGGCCACAUUGGGACUGAGACACGGCCCAAACUCCUUCGGGAGGCAGCAGUAGGGAAUCUUCGGCAAUGGACGAAAGGCUUACCGAGCAACGCCGCGUGAGUGAAGAAGGUUUUCGGAUCGUAAAACUCUGUUGGUAGAGAAGAACGAUGGUGAGAGUGGAAAGCUCAUCAAGUGACGGUAACUACCCAGAAAGGGACGGCUAACUACGUG
RNAcentral lists this ribosomal RNA (497 nucleotides) under uncultured bacterium. Its description in RNAcentral is "partial 16S ribosomal RNA". It matches the Rfam family "Bacterial small subunit ribosomal RNA", at positions 28 to 507 of the family's 1533-position model. The record is from RNAcentral.